GGAUUGCCCCAGUAACGGCGAGUGAAGCGGCAACAGCUCAAAUUUGAAAUCUGGCCCCAGGCCCGAGUUGUAAUUUGCAGAGGAUGCUUUUGGCGCGGUGCCUUCCGAGUUCCCUGGAACGGGACGCCAUAGAGGGUGAGAGCCCCGUACGGUUGGACACCAAGCCUUUGUAAAGCUCCUUCGACGAGUCGAGUAGUUUGGGAAUGCUGCUCUAAAUGGGAGGUACAUUUCUUCUAAAGCUAAAUAUUGGCCAGAGACCGAUAGCGCACAAGUAGAGUGAUCGAAAGAUGAAAAGCACUUUGAAAAGAGGGUUAAACAGCACGUGAAAUUGUUAAAAGGGAAGCGCUUGUGACCAGACUUGCGUCCGGUGAAUCACCCAGCUCUCGCGGCUGGGGCACUUCGCCGGCACAGGCCAGCAUCAGCUUGCCGUCGGGGACAAAAGCUUCAGGAACGUAGCUCCUCUCGGGGAGUGUUAUAGCCUGUUGUAUAAUACCCUUCGGCGGGCUGAGGUACGCGCUCCGCAAGGAUGCUGGCGUAAUGGUCAUCAGCGAC
RNAcentral lists this ribosomal RNA (552 nucleotides) under Colletotrichum acutatum. Its description in RNAcentral is "eukaryotic LSU rRNA". It matches the Rfam family "Eukaryotic large subunit ribosomal RNA", at positions 72 to 648 of the family's 3401-position model. RNAcentral also lists the same sequence under 1 other name. The record is from RNAcentral. Lineage: Eukaryota; Fungi; Ascomycota; Sordariomycetes; Glomerellales; Glomerellaceae.